CAGUCGCCGCGGGAAUACGAAGGGGGCUAGCGUUGCUCGGAAUGACUGGGCGUAAAGGGCGCGUAGGCGGUUUUGACAGUCAGAUGUGAAAUUCCUGGGCUUAACCUGGGGGCUGCAUUUGAGACGUCAAGACUAGAGUGUGAGAGAGGGUUGUGGAAUUCCCAGUGUAGAGGUGAAAUUCGUAGAUAUUCGGAAGAACACCAGUGGCGAAGGCGGCUUACUGGCUCAUACUGGACGCUGAGGUGCGAAAGCGUGGGGAGCAAACAGGAUUAGAUACCCCAGUAGUCCCUGUCUCUUAUAC
Molecule: ribosomal RNA, 301 nt
Filed under: uncultured bacterium
Lineage: Bacteria
Description: partial 16S ribosomal RNA
Rfam family: Bacterial small subunit ribosomal RNA
Source: RNAcentral